UUAUAGAGCCGUUCCAGUUGGGCCCAAGGGCAUGUCCGGUCCCAUUGGUGGUGGGCGCCCCUCCGUGGGCUCUGAGGCCUUGUCGCCCUCAGUGUCCGUCGGAGUCUACAAAGGGGCACUUGUGCCCCGGCGUAACGUAGAUAGAUACAUAUUGGCCUUGUGCCAAUAACAUGCCAGUGAAGACGUCCUUGUCCACUCCAACCUUAUAUAUAUAUAACGCCUACGGGACAAGACCUAGCUGGUCCGCAGGCGGCGGGAUGACUUGGGUUGGAAGAGGGUGGGUCUCCAGAAGGAGACUGGGUAGCAUAGGCGGCGUUACUAGUGCGCGCUGCUGAGGAGCAACCGGCCAGUUGGUCCGUGCUACUUGGUUGAUCUCUGCUGGACUUGAUGGGUGUAAGGCAGGCAUCCACAGUUGUUUGGCGUGCUUCGCGCCCUCCUUCCGUCGUGCCCAAUCGUCUGAAGUUAUGGGCCUCGACGAAUUGAUGUGAGUCGAGGGGGUCAUACCUGUUUUUGGCCCGGCAUGGACCUAGACCUACACGCGGUGCCCCUGUUCUUGACUGAUUAGGUCUAUAACAUCAAGCUGAGUUUUCCAAUGGGUUUUUAGAUAACUCUCAACAAUGGAUCUCUAGGCUCUUGCAUCGAUGAAGAACGCAGUGAACUGCGAUAACUGGUGUGAGUUGCAUGGCACUUCUAAUCUAACACCAAGCGAAUCAUCGAGUCUUUGAACGCAAACGGCACCCUUCCAGUCCAUUCCAAAGCGGUGGCGGAGGAUGAAGACAAGGGUAUCUCUGGCUGAGGGUAAUGGGAANUGAUCCAGUGUAACCGUUGGUUAGCUCUGGGGAUUGGGCUUGCUUGGGGCAAUUGCUCUGGCUUGCCUUAAAAUCAAGCGUUGUGUGGAUUGGACUUUCAAGCAUGCAUUGGGGACGCAGGCUCUGCGCUANNGCAAGCCCUUGACCGUCAUAGGUGCUUUGAUUGGGGUUUUCGGUCUAGCCAACAAGGCUGGGUUGAAGGACUU
RNAcentral lists this ribosomal RNA (1015 nucleotides) under Cantharellus subalbidus. RNAcentral's name for it is "eukaryotic LSU rRNA". The stretch from base 607 to 802 matches the Rfam family "5.8S ribosomal RNA". Lineage: Eukaryota; Fungi; Basidiomycota; Agaricomycetes; Cantharellales; Hydnaceae. The record is from RNAcentral.